Molecule: ribosomal RNA, 497 nt
Filed under: uncultured bacterium
Lineage: Bacteria
Description: partial 16S ribosomal RNA
Rfam family: Bacterial small subunit ribosomal RNA
Source: RNAcentral
GAUGAACGCUGGCGGCGUGCCUAAUACAUGCAAGUCGAGCGAACAGAUAAGGAGCUUGCUCCUUUGACGUUAGCGGCGGACGGGUGAGUAACACGUGGAUAACCUACCUAUAAGACUGGGAUAACUUCGGGAACCCGGAGCUAAUACCGGAUAACAUAUUGAACCGCAUGGUUCAAUAGUGAAAGGCGGCUUUGCUGUCACUUAUAGAUGGAUCCGCGCCGUAUUAGCUAGUUGGUAAGGUAACGGCUUACCAAGGCAACGAUACGUAGCCGACCUGAGAGGGUGUACGGCCACACUGGAACUGAGACACGGUCCAGACUCCUACGGGAGGCAGCAGUAGGGAAUCUUCCGCAAUGGGCGAAAGCCUGACGGAGCAACGCCGCGUGAGUGAUGAAGGUCUUCGGAUCGUAAAACUCUGUUAUCAGGGAAGAACAAAUGUGUAAGUAACUGUGCACAUCUUGACGGUACCUGAUCAGAAAGCCACGGCUAACUACGUG